This 397-nucleotide ribosomal RNA is filed under the name uncultured bacterium. RNAcentral's name for it is "partial 16S ribosomal RNA". It matches the Rfam family "Bacterial small subunit ribosomal RNA", at positions 361 to 775 of the family's 1533-position model. The record is from RNAcentral.
AUCUUGCGCAAUGGGCGAAAGCCUGACGCACCCAUGCCGCGUGAAUGAGGACGGUCUUAGGAUGGUAAAAUUCUUUCACCGGGGACGAUAAUGUCGGUACCCGGAGCAGAAGGCCCGGUGCACUUCGUGCCAGCAGCCGCGGUGAGACGAAGAGGGCUCGCGUGGUUCGGAAUUAUUAGGCGCAAAGGGCGCGUAGGCGGAUCGUUAAGUCAGAGGUAGAAUCCCAGGGCUCAACCCUGGAACUGCCUUUGAUACUGGCGAUCUUGAGUAUGAGAGAGGUAUGUGGAACUCCGAGUGUAGAGGUGAAAUUCGUAGAUAUUCAGAAGAACACCAGUGGCGAAGGCGACAUACUGGCUCAUUACUGACGCUGAGGCGCGAAAGCGUGGGGAGCAAACAG